Molecule: long non-coding RNA, 1436 nt
Filed under: Marmota monax (woodchuck)
Lineage: Eukaryota; Metazoa; Chordata; Mammalia; Rodentia; Sciuridae
Source: RNAcentral
UCUAAUUCAGGGCUUUCAAUCUGCCUUUUUAAAACAUGGUGCUUCUGCCAGUCAUAGUGGUGUAGUGAUGCAUAUGUGUAAUCCUAGAGACUCAGGAGGCUGAGGCAGGAGGAUUGCAAGUUCAAGACCAACCUCAGCAAUUUAGCAAGGCCCUAAGCAAUUUCCAGGAGAUCCUGUUUCAAAAAUAAAAAUAAAAAUAAAAAAGGCUGGGGAUGUAGCUCAGUGGUAAAGAGUCUCUGGGUUAAAUUAAAACAAAACAACAACAACAACAAAAAAAAAAACCUGCUUCUUGUUGUGAAGACAAACCUCUGGAGGCACGGUGCUACUGACUCUUUUUGUAUGUGUCUGUCUGUGCGUCCUUGACACUUCCCCAUACUGUGGCACUCAUUUUACAGAAGAAUAAGCAAAAACUUGGAGAGAUGCAGGGACUUGUUAAGAUUUCCCUAGAGCUAAUAGUGGCAAUGCUGGUCUGACAUCCAAGGUCAGAGAAUUCACAGUGCCAAUCUGCCUCCGGUCCUGGUCUUGAUCUUUGGCUUCUCCAGGGCUGCUGGUACUGGUGUUCUCUCAGAAGGCUCCCAACAACCUUGGACACACAGGCACGAGGUGGCACUUGGUUUUGUGCAGGAGGUGCUGCAGCACAGGGCCAGUAGCUGUUCCCAAGGAAAAGCCUGCAUGAAUGACAGACUUGACUUCCUCACAAAGCUGCUGGUUUCCAGCCCUGAUGCCUCCUUCCCUCCUACCUCCUACUCUUCCUUCCCUCCAUCCAUCUUGCUGUAUUGCUCAGGCUGAUCUCCGACUUCUGGUUUCAAAUGAUCCUCCCACCUCAGUCUCCUGAGUAGCUGCUACUACAGAUGUGCACCAGACAAACCAGGCUUGACCCAUUCUUCAAAGCCUAACUUCAACUGCACCUCCUCUUUGGAGCCUCUUCUGAUUUCUUUCUUUCUCGAAGGCUCCUCCUCCUACCAUACUGGGAACGGAUUCACUUCCUUGUUGUAAUUGUCCUUGAAUAGUUGACCUCUCAGAGCUUUAAUUCCUCCACCUGGAAAACUGCCUAUAAAGCUGUGGGAGGACUGAGUUAAAAGAAAUAAUAGUGGGGCUGCGGCUGGGGCUCGGUGGUAGAGUGCUCGCCUGGCAUGCAUGAGGCACUGGGUUCGAUCCUCAGCACCACAUAAAAGUAAAGAAAUUGAAGUCCAUCAACAACUAAACAAAUACAAAAAAAGAAAGAAAGAAAGAAUAGUGACUGUAAUUUCAACAGCUCCGGAGGCUGAGGCAGGACAGAUUCCAGUUUGAGGCCAGCCUGGGCAAGUUAGGGAGCCUUGUCUCAAAACCAAAAAUAAAAAGGGCUGGGAAUGGACAUCAGUGGUAGAGUACCCCUGGGUUCAAUCCCUAGUGCAAAAAGAAAAAAGGAAACAAAAGGGGACUAUGGACAGUAGUUC